RNAcentral lists this microRNA precursor (120 nucleotides) under Glycine max (soybean). RNAcentral describes it as "MIR1520 microRNA precursor family". It matches the Rfam family "MIR1520 microRNA precursor family". The record is from Rfam by way of RNAcentral. Lineage: Eukaryota; Viridiplantae; Streptophyta; Magnoliopsida; Fabales; Fabaceae.
UUCUUAUUGGAUGAUGACUGUCACAUAUCAUGUUGUGAUUGGUCAAUGAAAACAACAAUGCAUUUCAUCUUUCAUGGAGUUGACAUCCAAUCAGAACAUGACACGUGACAAUCAUCAUCC